RNAcentral lists this ribosomal RNA (414 nucleotides) under uncultured microorganism. Its description in RNAcentral is "bacterial SSU rRNA". It matches the Rfam family "Bacterial small subunit ribosomal RNA", at positions 9 to 429 of the family's 1533-position model. The record is from RNAcentral.
GAGUUUGAUCAUGGCUCAGAUUGAACGCUGGCGGCAUGCCUUACACAUGCAAGUCGAACGGUAACAGGUCUUCGGAUGCUGACGAGUGGCGAACGGGUGAGUAAUACAUCGGAACGUGCCCGAUCGUGGGGGAUAACGGAGCGAAAGCUUUGCUAAUACCGCAUACGAUCUACGGAUGAAAGCAGGGGACCGCAAGGCCUUGCGCGGACGGAGCGGCCGAUGGCAGAUUAGGUAGUUGGUGGGAUAAAAGCUUACCAAGCCGACGAUCUGUAGCUGGUCUGAGAGGAUGACCAGCCACACUGGGACUGAGACACGGCCCAGACUCCUACGGGAGGCAGCAGUGGGGAAUUUUGGACAAUGGGCGAAAGCCUGAUCCAGCCAUGCCGCGUGCAGGAUGAAGGCCUCGGUUGUAAC